CCCGCACAAGCAGCGGAGCAUGUGGUUUAAUUCGAAGCAACGCGAAGAACCUUACCUAGACUUGACAUCUCCUGAAUUACCCGUAACUGGGGAAGCUCUUCGGAGCAGGAAGACAGGUGGUGCAUGGUUGUCGUCAGCUCGUGUCGUGAGAUGUUGGGUUAAGUCCCGCAACGAGCGCAACCCUUAUCGUUAGUUGCUACCAUUAGGUUGAGCACUCUAGCGAGACUGCCCGGGUUAACCGGGAGGAAGGUGGGGAUGACGUCAAAUCAUCAUGCCCCUUAUGUCUAGGGCUACACACGUGCUACAAUGGUGAGGACAAAGAGACGCAAGACCGCGAGGUGGAGCAAAUCUCACAAACCUCAUCCCAGUUCGGAUUGCAGGCUGAAACUCGCCUGCAUGAAGCCGGAGUUGCUAGUAAUCGCGAAUCAGCAUGUCGCGGUGAAUACGUUCCCGGGCCUU
This 459-nucleotide ribosomal RNA is filed under the name uncultured Clostridium sp. RNAcentral describes it as "bacterial SSU rRNA". It matches the Rfam family "Bacterial small subunit ribosomal RNA", at positions 920 to 1382 of the family's 1533-position model. The record is from RNAcentral. Lineage: Bacteria; Bacillati; Bacillota; Clostridia; Eubacteriales; Clostridiaceae.